UCCGGCAUGGUCUAGUGGCUAUGAUCUGUCGCUCUCAUCAGUUGAGCAUGAAAACCGACAAGACCCGGGUUCGAUUCCCGGUGCCGGAA
Non-coding RNA from Lineolata rhizophorae, 89 nucleotides. Lineage: Eukaryota; Fungi; Ascomycota; Dothideomycetes; Lineolatales; Lineolataceae. The record is from the annotation of a GenBank genome assembly.